This 513-nucleotide ribosomal RNA is filed under the name Stefaniola fistula. Its description in RNAcentral is "partial large subunit ribosomal RNA". The stretch from base 1 to 151 matches the Rfam family "Archaeal large subunit ribosomal RNA", at positions 1889 to 2084 of the family's 2987-position model. Lineage: Eukaryota; Metazoa; Arthropoda; Insecta; Diptera; Cecidomyiidae. The record is from RNAcentral.
CGCCUGUUUAUUAAAAACAUGGUUUUUAAAAAUUUAAUUAAAAAUUAAACCUGCCAAUUGAUAAUAAUUAAAAGGCCGCAGUAUUUUGACUGUGCUAAGGUAGCAUAAUCAUUAGAUUUAUAAUUGAAAUCUAGAAUGAAUGGUUUAAUGAAAUAAAUUCUUUUUUAAUUUAAAUAAUUGAACUUUUUUUUUUAGUUAAAAAACUAAAAUAAUUUUAUGGGACGAGAAGACCCUAUAGAAUUUUAUUUUAAUUAAUUGUGUAUUAAUUUAUAAAUUAUUUAUUUAAUUAAUAAAAAUUUUAUUGGGGUGAUAAUUAAAUUUAAUUAACUUUAAAAUUUUUAUCAUAAAUAUAUGUAUAAUUGAUCUUUUUAUAUUGAUUAAAAAAAUAAAUUACCUUAGGGAUAACAGCAUAAUUAUAUUAAGAAGUUCUUAUUUUUAAUAUUGUUUAUGACCUCGAUGUUGAAUUAAAUAAAAUUAUUAUAUGAAGAUAUAUAAAAAAUAAGUCUGUUCGAC